UAUUACUUGGUCCUGUAUUGCAAUUAAA
This 28-nucleotide small RNA is filed under the name Bombyx mori (domestic silkworm). Its description in RNAcentral is "ovarian small RNA-24103". The record is from RNAcentral. Lineage: Eukaryota; Metazoa; Arthropoda; Insecta; Lepidoptera; Bombycidae.